This is a non-coding RNA of Cervus elaphus (red deer), 75 nucleotides long. The record is from the annotation of a RefSeq genome assembly. NCBI's taxonomy places the organism in Eukaryota, Metazoa, Chordata, Mammalia, Artiodactyla, Cervidae.
UCCCUGGUGGUGUCCAGUGGUUAAGACUCUGUGCUUCCACUGCAGGGGGCCCAGGUUCAACCCCUGGCUAGGGAA